CGGCGGAGGAAAUGGCAUUGUUGGCUUACAAUAGAGCAUUAAAGCUUUCUAAACCAGGUUCACCAGUUCUAGGUGUGGGUUUUACUGGUGCCCUGGCUAGUGCACAACCAAAACGUGGAGAUCAUAGGUUUCACGUGUCAACCAGAACAUCUAACCGGUUUUGGACCUCGACAGUUACUUUGACUAAGGGUCUGCGAACUCGUGAGCAG
RNAcentral lists this unclassified non-coding RNA (209 nucleotides) under Hevea brasiliensis (rubber tree). The record is from RNAcentral. Lineage: Eukaryota; Viridiplantae; Streptophyta; Magnoliopsida; Malpighiales; Euphorbiaceae.